RNAcentral lists this ribosomal RNA (408 nucleotides) under uncultured bacterium. RNAcentral's name for it is "partial 16S ribosomal RNA". It matches the Rfam family "Bacterial small subunit ribosomal RNA", at positions 28 to 526 of the family's 1533-position model. The record is from RNAcentral.
GACGAACGCUGGCGGCGUGCUUAACACAUGCAAGUCGAACGAAGUGGCGAACGGGUGAGUAACGCGUAAUCAAUCUGCCCUUCAGAGGGGGACAACAGUUGGAAACGACUGCUAAUACCGCAUACUGAAGGUGGGGAUUCCGUCUGAUUAGCUAGUUGGUGGGGUAACGGCCCACCAAGGCGAUGAUCAGUAGCCGGGCGGAGAGGAUGAACGGCCACAUUGGGACUGGGACACGGCCCAGACUCCUACGGGAGGCAGCAGGGAGGAAACUUCCGCAAUGGACGAAAGUCUGACGGGGCAACGCCGCGGGAGGGAUGACGGCCUUCGGGUUGUAAAGCGCUGUUAAUCGGGACGCGGUACCGGAAUAGAAAGCCACGGCUAACUACGUGCCAGCCGCCGCGGUAAUAC